RNAcentral lists this ribosomal RNA (184 nucleotides) under uncultured bacterium. RNAcentral's name for it is "partial 16S ribosomal RNA". It matches the Rfam family "Bacterial small subunit ribosomal RNA", at positions 338 to 524 of the family's 1533-position model. The record is from RNAcentral.
CCUACGGGAGGCAGCAGUAAGGAAUAUUGCGCAAUGGACGAAAGUCUGACGCAGCGACGCCGCGUGGGGGAUGAAGGUCUUCGGAUUGUAAACCCCUUUCGGGAGGGAAGAUGGAGUGGGUAACCACUUGGACGGUACCUCCAGAAGCAGCCACGGCUAACUUCGUGCCAGCAGCCGCGGUAAU